Molecule: unclassified non-coding RNA, 684 nt
Filed under: Hevea brasiliensis (rubber tree)
Lineage: Eukaryota; Viridiplantae; Streptophyta; Magnoliopsida; Malpighiales; Euphorbiaceae
Source: RNAcentral
GGGAAUUCAAUGUCGAGACCUCGUGAUGUUUUGCACAUGAUACGGCCCUCACCGAAUCAGGAAUCUCAGAAGCAAAUGAUUCUUCCUGAGCUUCAGAUCAAGGUCUCUCAAGGAAGCAGUCAAGGAGUCCCUCCUUUUGGUGGGUCAAGUACCUCUUUCCCUAACCAGACAGCCUCCUCACCUGUUUCCUCACACCCACUUCAUCAACCACAUCUUUUAUCUUCACAGCAGCCUCUUGUGCAUAGCCCUCGGCAACCUCAUCUUCAAGGGGCCAGUCAUGCCACCAGCCCGCAACAUCAAGCUUAUGCGAUUCGUUUAGCUAGAGAGAGGCACCUGCAACAGCGGCUUUUACAACAGCAACAUCAACAACUCUCACAUACGCAGCCCCAUCUUCCUAUACCAUCAUCAUUGCAGAAUAGUCCUCAGAUCACUUCACAGACUUCUUCUCCACCAGUGUCACUUUCUCCUUUGACAUCGUCUUCCUCAAUUUCUCCAAUGCCACAGCAUCAACUGAAACAUCCAUUUCCGGCCCAUGGGCUUGGACGAAGUGCACAAACUGGGGGUAGUAGUUUAAUUACUCAAAUGAGCAAGCCAAGGCCACAUCAGAUAGGGCAGCAGCAGCUUCAAAAUGUUAGCAGGCACCAUCCUCCACAGCGCCAGCAGUCGGAAUCUCAGAAACAAGCU